RNAcentral lists this ribosomal RNA (497 nucleotides) under uncultured bacterium. Its description in RNAcentral is "partial 16S ribosomal RNA". It matches the Rfam family "Bacterial small subunit ribosomal RNA", at positions 28 to 507 of the family's 1533-position model. The record is from RNAcentral.
GAUGAACGCUGGCGGCGUGCCUAAUACAUGCCAGUCGAGCGAACAGACGAGGAGCUUGCUUCUCUGACGUUAGCGGCGGACGGGUGAGUAACACGUGGAUAACCUACCUAUAAGACUGGGAUAACUUUGGGAAACCGGAGCUAAUACCGGAUAAUAUAUUGAACCGCAUGGUUCAAUAGUGAAAGACGGUUUUGCUGUCACUUAUAGAUGGAUCCGCGCCGCAUUAGCUAGUUGGUAAGGUAACGGCUUACCAAGGCAACGAUGCGUAGCCGACCUGAGAGGGUGAUCGGCCACACUGGAACUGAGACACGGUCCAGACUCCUACGGGAGGCAGCAGUAGGGAAUCUUCCGCAAUGGGCGAAAGCCUGACGGAGCAACGCCGCGUGAGUGAUGAAGGUCUUCGGAUCGUAAAACUCUGUUAUUAGGGAAGAACAAAUGUGUAAGUAACUAUGCACGUCUUGACGGUACCUAAUCAGAAAGCCACGGCUAACUACGUG